GGGAGGCUGGGUCUAGCCGCUCCAGUCCCAGAGGGGCAGAUUUGCAGCGCGGGCCUCGCGGAUGCGAACUGGCUCAGCGAGCGCAAGUGGCACACGCACAGCCAGCAGCCGCGCGUGGGCUCUGGCCUCGCGCUAGCUGCAAGUCGCGGGCUGAACCUGCUGGAGCUCGGCCAGGCCCACGGUCCUGCACGGGCGGGCGCCUCUCGGGGCCGAGCGCCUCCCCUCGGCCCUCGCUUCCGCCCGAGACCCGGCGGCUGCCCUGAUCCUGCCGAAAGGGGGCAGCAGCCGGCGACGUACAGGAACAGCGCCCUGCUGGCCCUGGUGAUCGGGCUACCCUGAAGGUUUAGGGUGGAAAGCCAGACCUACAGUCUCGAGGUGCACAGCAGCAGCUGCACAACCUUGACCUUGCGACCUUGGGUUUCCUUGAGCCAGGAAUGGGCCAAGCCAUCUAUGCACCUACCAGCGCCUGUAAACUUAGCGUACAGCAAAAAUUCAGAGAAGUACUUGGGAACUUCUGAUCCGGGAGUCCUUGGAUCACCGUGGGAAGGAUCCCGAGGCAUUUCGAAAGUGGAAACUGGGCGGAUGAAGCCAGUUCUGCCCGGGAGCAAGCGCAGCAAAGCGUCGGUGGUGCAGCCGGUUCCGGAGCUCGGAGCUGGGGCAGCGCCGAUUGGUUUCGACCCAGACACAUUGCUAGGGCGCUGGAUCUUCCUGUAACCUCCCGCGUUUGGGGAGGACUUCAAGGCUGAGAUAUCCUACUUCAUCAUCUUGCUGAUGUCCCAUCUGACCUUUCAUUAGAAAGAGUGACCCCAUAUCCCAAUCCUGUUUGGAUUGUUCCAGUUUAUACCUUCUGACCUAUGACAGUUAUAAUAGGUAAAAUAAUAUCCCUUAGUGAAGUCCCUGGAAACUGUAAGUUUGUUACUUUAUUUACAGUUUACUUACAGUAAAAGGGAUCACACAAUUCUGAUAGAAAUAAGGAUUGUAAACUAAGGAGGUUAUGUGGGAUUAUCUGAGUGGGUUAGUGUAAUCACCAGAAUGCUUUUGAAAAAAGCAAUAGGAGAUGUGAUAAUGGCAACAUGAGAUUAGAAUGACAGAAGAAGCCACAAGCCAAAUUAUGCAGGCAGCACCAGAAGCCAAAAAAAGCAAAGGAACAGAUUCUCACUUCAGAACCUUCAGAAAAAGUAGCCCUACAGAUACCAUGACUUGGGUCAGUGAGACUGAUUUAGACUUUUGACCUUUACAACUGUAACAUAAUACUUUUUUAUUGUUUUAAGUUUCUAUAAUGUUGUGGUAAUUUGUUUAAGCAGAAAUAGGUAACUGAUGCAGUAACUAGUCAUACUGAGCCCAAUUAUACUCUCAAAAAUAGCCUGGUUUGGUGAUAAAAUAGAUCUUAACUCUAUGCACAAACCAUAGCAUCACAAAUCCAUAGUCCUGUCAAGAUCAUUUUGGGAAAUAAAAUGUAAGCUUAUCUACUCUGAUUAUCAAAGAUUAGCCUUUGGGGAUAUGGCAUUAAAUUGUAUAAACAUACACGUGAGGAAUUACCCACAGACCAGAUUAAAUAAGGUCAGGGUCAAAGGGAGCCAAAGAGAAGAUAGGAUGUUACACUGAAUUUUCACUUCAACUACCUCUUGUGUUCAUAUCUCCAUAGGACUCUUAGUCGAGGUUUAAUUUGAUUUGUCUUGUUUUAUUCUGAUUGCUGAAUUUUGAUAUAGA
Molecule: long non-coding RNA, 1710 nt
Organism: Cavia porcellus (domestic guinea pig)
Lineage: Eukaryota; Metazoa; Chordata; Mammalia; Rodentia; Caviidae
Source: Ensembl